AGCAGCACAGGACAGUCCAGCCACCCCACAGGUGUUGAAGAAAAUGACAGUCCUGUCCAUCUGCAUCCCUAAGCCAUAUGACAUCUUUCAGCUUCUCCAAGAAGGAAACCUACUGCAGCAAUAUUUAAGUGUCUGACUAGAAAGGAAGUGGAAAACACAAGGUUUCACCCUUUCAAAGACAUUAGUCAUUGGAACACAGGUCUUCUGAGUUUCACAAGGAUGAAUCCUCUCUUCCAUCCCAUUCAGUAUUGAUACAAUGACCUGAUGAAACAACCUAAGUGAAAUAUGGGCACUACUGCAGUAAGCAUUACAUAUCUU
Onychostruthus taczanowskii (white-rumped snowfinch) is the source of this 318-nucleotide long non-coding RNA. RefSeq lists it as uncharacterized. The transcript is spliced from 3 exons. Lineage: Eukaryota; Metazoa; Chordata; Aves; Passeriformes; Passeridae. The record is from RefSeq and is a predicted model, not a curated record.